UCACGUAUGGGCAUGCGCGAGCCGGAGUAAACAGGAAGCAGAUUUGUCCUCUCUGCAGUUGAUUAAUUGCAAUAAAUACUCUGAACGAGGAACAGCAAAGAAAGCUGCUUUGUGAAAAUACAGAAAUGAACUCCUCAACAGCUGCUAGCAAAGACAACAAGCUCCGCCCAGGCCCACCCUGAUUACUUCAUGAGAUGCACCUGGCCUGGGAAGGAAGGCUUUAAAAAACUCUGGCCCCAGCAGAAGGGCAGAAGCUUCAGCUCCACCCAGGCCCACCCUGAUUACUUAAUGAGAUGCACCUGGCCUGGGAAGGAAGGCUUUAAAGAAAACUG
Molecule: long non-coding RNA, 332 nt
Organism: Seriola aureovittata
Lineage: Eukaryota; Metazoa; Chordata; Actinopteri; Carangiformes; Carangidae
Exons: 3
Source: RefSeq, a predicted model, not a curated record